AGCAGCGCCCUGCUCCUGCAGUCUGAUAACAUUUUUGCUCACGUUUAUGUUGAAACUGAGUUUGAGGGAAUAAUUUCCACACUCUCAACAUCUGUCUGAACAUCAGUGUGUGUGUCAGCAGUGACUAGAAGCUGCUACAGCAAACCAUGCUGCUGUCUCCAACUCCACUAACUCUGAGAAUAUGCUAUGCUUAACGGUGACCAUUCUACGAGGAAAGGACGGCUUUGGCUUCACCAUCUGCUCUGACUCGCCUGUUCGUAUACAAGCAGUCGA
This is a long non-coding RNA of Sinocyclocheilus rhinocerous, 273 nucleotides long. RefSeq lists it as uncharacterized. The record is from RefSeq and is a predicted model, not a curated record. NCBI's taxonomy places the organism in Eukaryota, Metazoa, Chordata, Actinopteri, Cypriniformes, Cyprinidae. The transcript has 3 exons.